Molecule: ribosomal RNA, 725 nt
Filed under: uncultured soil bacterium
Lineage: Bacteria
Description: bacterial SSU rRNA
Rfam family: Bacterial small subunit ribosomal RNA
Source: RNAcentral
GAUGAACGCUGGCGGCGUGCCUAACACAUGCAAGUCGAACGUGAAGCUUGGUACUUGUAUCAGGCUGAAAGAGGCGAACGGGUGAGUAACACGUUGGUGACCUGCCCCGAGGAGAGGGAUAACUCCUUGAAAGAGGAGCUAAUACCUCAGAUGACUGGACUGUUAGAGGGUCCAGCCUAAAGCUUUGGCGUCUCGGGAGGGGCCUGCGGGCUAUCAGCUAGUUGGUGGGGUAAGAGCCUACCAAGGCGAAGACGGCUAGGGGGCGUGAGAGCGUGACCCCCCACAAGGGAACUGAGAAACGGUCCCUACUCCUACGGGAGGCAGCAGUGAGGAAUAUUGAGCAAUGGGCGCAAGCCUGACUCAGCAACGCCGCGUGGAUGAAGAAGGCCUUCGGGUUGUAAAAUCCUUUUCUGAGGGACGAUAAUGACGGUACCUCAGGAAUAAGUUCCGGCUAACUACGUGCCAGCAGCCGCGGUAAAACGUAGGGGACAAGCGUUAUCCGGAUUUACUGGGCGUAAAGCGCCCGUAGGCGGCUUAACAAGUUGGAUGUGAAAGCUCCCGGCUUAACUGGGAGAGGUCAUUCAAAACUGUUAGGCUAGAGGAUGGAAGAGGAGAGCGGAAUUCCCGGUGUAGUGGUGGAAUGCGUAGAGAUCGGGAGGAACACCAGUGGCGAAAGCGGCUCUCUGGUUCACACCUGACGCUGAGGGGCGAAAGCGUGGGGAGCG